This is a small nucleolar RNA of Tachyglossus aculeatus (Australian echidna), 138 nucleotides long. NCBI's taxonomy places the organism in Eukaryota, Metazoa, Chordata, Mammalia, Monotremata, Tachyglossidae. The record is from RefSeq and is a predicted model, not a curated record.
CCCCUCUCAAGGUUGCACCUGGAGAGUUUCCAGUCCUCUACCAGUCUUGGCUACAGGAGGGAGAGUCAAGCAGAGGCCUGUCUAUUCGAUUCCUAGCUUGGCCAGUGGCUAGUGAGUGGAAGGCCAUCUGCUACAAGU